Molecule: long non-coding RNA, 389 nt
Filed under: Jatropha curcas
Lineage: Eukaryota; Viridiplantae; Streptophyta; Magnoliopsida; Malpighiales; Euphorbiaceae
Description: long non-coding RNA (JCUR_LNC001333)
Source: RNAcentral
UUAUAGGAGGCCCAACCCAUUAACAUAGCAAAAACUCAAAAUAAACUAACUAGUUUAAUGAGAGGCAGGGGAUUGCACGGUCUAGGGCGUGCCAAUGCGCACGGGUGUGCCUCAAUGUUAAGCUUCCUUCGUGAGAGGCAGAGGAGUGCACGGUUUAGGGCGUGCUAGUUGGCAUGGGCGUGCGCGCAUGUAUGAGUGUUCCUUGCGAGAGGCAGAGGCUUGCACGGUCUGGGGCGUGCUAGUUGGCACGGGCGUGCUUCAAAUCAAGUGUUGUUCUUUGAGAGGCAGAAGCUUGCACGGCCUGGGGCGUGCUACCUUGCACAGGCGUGCUACCUUGCACGGGCGUGCUAACCAAGCACAGUUUAGGCAUUUCAAGUGAUGGAAAUUCA